GUAAAAACUUUAGUCAAUUCUUCUUUGUACCAAUAAUCCAAUUGAUUUGAAAAAUUUCCAAUUUGUUUUCCUUCAAUCUAGUAGAUGCAAUGGCGCUCUCAUCUCUUUAUAAGAAGCACAAGAAACACAUGCAGAAACUUCUGAAUUUUCAGACAAGAAAAUUUGGGACAAGUCCAUCCUAAUCUCAACCUUCUGAAAUUGGGAAUUGUCCCUGUAACUAUGCUAUCAAUUCAGCAUUGACCUUAGUUACUGAAAUGGUGUAUUAAUUCACUUUUUAAAUAUAUUUUAGCCUUAAAAAUGCAUGUGACUGGUACGAAAAUAUAGAAAUUCUGAGGAAGUGACUUCAGACUCAGUCUGCUUUUCAAAAUUUUAAUUAUUCCAGAGUGAAAACAGGAGAGUACCAUAACAGUCUUCUAUUAUUAUUAUUAUCAUUAUCAUUAUUAUUAUACUGAAAUGACUGUUGAAGAGAAAUUGAUAUCUCUUUCGUGGAGCAAGCAGAUCACGUUGGGUGAGGUGACACAGAAAUCACAUACUCUAACAACAGCAGAAGAAUCAUCAGUUAGCUAAUUAUUCAAUUCAGUCGCUUUUCACAUUAAAAUCUUUCCCACGGCCCACGGGCCACGCCCAUUUCAUUACAUAACCAAAUCCAAUGGCAUCUUAUUCUUCACUUUCACACUUAUCCACCUACUCCUGCCUCUUGUCCUGCCGGUCUGCUCUCUGUCUGUUGUUGUUAUUACUGUUCAUUUCAUUGCACUGCAUCUACCCCUUGUUUAAUUUCCUAACCCGCUGGCUCAUACUACACAUCUUUCAGUGGGUUUCGAUCUUGGGUUGUUCCCAUGCUUUUCCUUUCCGAGGUUUUCAUCGACCCUUGUUCAGCUAGGUUCGUUGCGGUGUGAUUUAAGAUGUCCAGAAAGAGAGCGGCGUAUACGCCCCCGCUUCGCAGUAACAUGGACGACAAGCAUGCGAGCCUCAUGCAGGAUUAUCUUCUACUUCAAGAUGAGUACGUUUCGCUGAAGGAUCAGCUGCAGACAGCCAAGCUGAGAAAGACAACCCUGCUAGCAGAAGUCAGACGGUGGGAGACGGGCGGAUACGUUAGUGAGAAGUCUCCUCUCUAUGGAGAUGUUUCCAACGAAGUUUCCGGUGCGGGAGACGCGUCCGAGUCUCCGAUUCUUGAGACAGAGACUAAAAAUGCUGAAGUACUCUCCUAUCGACUCCAAAGGAAAAGAAUCAUCUUCCAGGACUAUUAAUUGUGAGUCCUCUAUUGCCUAUACCAGAAAAUCUGCUUCCCAAGCAGUUGCACCAGACUCUUCUUCUUUGUCUCCUAAGAAUAAAUCGUUGGAUACAACAGAAGUUCCUAUAUUCUGGGACCCACACAAGGUAAUUGUUUCUGAGGAGACUGUCAAGUGGGAGGGAGUCAAUGACAACAUUGGACUGGUUAGUGCUCCGAGGGUAUCUGUUUUCAGAAAUGGCCUAAAUACAUUUGCCACAGCAACGGCGGGAAAGAGGAAAAUCUCACGCGAAGAUCAAAUUUCUUUGGAGUGUAAUUAAGGAAGGAUUCUAUCCUUAUUUUGUUGUUGCAAUUGCCUCACAAAUCAUCGGAACACCUCCUUGUAUAUUUGCCAAAGGUGUUUUUGUAUCGUAAGUUGCUCAGGUUGUAAAGUUUCUGAUGUAAGCAAAGGUCAUUGCAGAGGUGAACCCCCUUUCGUUUUUUUGAGUGAGUAUCUGCCUAGUAAGUUGCUCAGGUUGUAAAGUUUCUGAUGUAAGCAAAGGUCAUUGCAGAGGUGAACCCCCUUCGUUUUUUUGAGUGAGUAUCUGCCUCCGUAUUUUGAGACACUUAUUUGUAGAAUUAUAUGAGUGGAACUUGCGAAGAAUAGUUUUGAAUAAAAUGUAAGUUGUUUUACAGAAGUGUAAUUUAGUUCCUACAGGAUCCUUGCUCUGUCAUUUUGAGAAGGUUAUCCUCAAGUUUCUUCUUUGAGUUGUUGUAGGAAUAUUGUAGGGAAUGGCGACGAUCAAUUCUGUCCUUAAACUAAAAAUUCCCGUGGGAGCAAGGUCUUUGCCCCCUGUAAAUACAGAUUUAUCAGAGAAGAAAAGAAAAAGAAAAUCAAUGGAAGUGACCCUAUAGGGGAAUAAUCCAGAUUUUUUAACUUUGGCUUUUAGCUUUUAAUGAAUA
This is an RNA transcript of Cryptomeria japonica (Japanese cedar), 2170 nucleotides long. RefSeq lists it as uncharacterized. The record is from RefSeq and is a predicted model, not a curated record. The transcript is spliced from 5 exons. NCBI's taxonomy places the organism in Eukaryota, Viridiplantae, Streptophyta, Pinopsida, Cupressales, Cupressaceae.